ACAAGCCUGAGAAACGGCUAGUAGGACUAAGGUCUGCAGCAGGCGCGAAACUUACACAAUGCUAGAUUUAUAAUGAUUAGCGAUGUAGUGAAGAAAAAUAACGAUGUGCUUGUAUUUAAACAUACUUGCACAAUUGGAAUGAGACGACCUUAAAACAGUCAGUCGAGUAACAAAUGGAGGGCAAGUCUGGUGCCAGCAGCCGCGGUAAUUCCAGCUCCAUUAGCAUACAUUAAAGUUGUUGCGGUUAAAAAGCUCGUAGUUGAAUUUUGGACGGGCGCUUGGACGCGGCGGCCGUCAAGGCUUUUCUUCGGAUCAGCUGGUCGUCGUUUGUCUGCGGCGCUCGUUGUUUCGUCACUUAAUCGAGUGCGAAGCGGGCCGGUGUGAAAAUACAACUUCGGUUGUUCGCAACGGCAUGUUUACCUUGAGAAAAUUAGAGUGCUCAGAGCAGGCAGUUGGGAUGUAAAAGUCUCUUUAUGCUUGAAUAAUGUUGCAUGGAAUAAUAGAAUACGGCCUCGGUUCUAUUCUGUUGGUCUUAUAGAACAACAAACAAGUUGGCCUGGGGCGUCAACGGGUGUUGGUUGGCGUGGUCGUCAAGUGCUUGUUGUCUAGAGGUAAAACUUUAGUACCAUCGCUUGGCAACCAUUAAAGCGCCCUCCUCUCAUCCAGCCCCUCCAACUGAGGCAAUGGUUAAAAGAAAUAGUCGCGGCGGCAUCAGUACUGCAUCGUGAGAG
This 731-nucleotide ribosomal RNA is filed under the name Aculus sp. NJAUAcariEriS92. RNAcentral's name for it is "partial 18S ribosomal RNA". It matches the Rfam family "Eukaryotic small subunit ribosomal RNA", at positions 389 to 910 of the family's 1831-position model. The record is from RNAcentral. Lineage: Eukaryota; Metazoa; Arthropoda; Arachnida; Trombidiformes; Eriophyidae.